This is a long non-coding RNA of Bubalus bubalis (water buffalo), 592 nucleotides long. RefSeq lists it as uncharacterized. The record is from RefSeq and is a predicted model, not a curated record. The transcript has 3 exons. Lineage: Eukaryota; Metazoa; Chordata; Mammalia; Artiodactyla; Bovidae.
GACAGAAGAGCAGGCUAUCAUCCAUAGGGUCGCAAAGAGUUGGUCACGACUGAGUGACUAAGCACAGCACUCAACACAGCACAGGACAUGGAAGCUACCCAAGUGCUCAUCAACAGAUGAACGAGUAAAGAAGAGGCGGUAUAUACUAACUCAACCAUAGAGAGGAAUGAAAUAAUGCCAGCUGCACAACCUGGAUGGACCUAGAGAUGAUCAUACUAAGAGGGCAUGGAGAGAAUAGCACACGCCUGCACACCCUGCUGUAGAAAGAACAUGAAGAGCUGAAAGGAACGCCCCUGAGGCCAGAAUCUGGAAUGUGGGAGGGCUUGAUUGAGAAGGGUGCAAGAGCUCUUUCCUCCCUGGAGAGACAAGAGACAAGGAGAUCUUUCUUCUCAAGUGGCCCCCAUCUCCUGCUCCUAAUUUUGGUGGCAAAUGCCAUGAAAUCAAAUGAUAAAAAACACAUUCUGGCUAUAACUAUAAGCCCAUGGACUGCAAGGAGAUCCAACCAGUCCAUCCUAAAGGAAAUCAGUCCUGAAGAUUCAUUGGAAGGACUGAUGCUGAAGCUGAAGCUCCAAUACUUUGGCCACUGGGUGUG